UCCUACGGGAGGCAGCAGUGGGGAAUAUUGGACAAUGGGCGCAAGCCUGAUCCAGCCAUGCCGCGUGAGUGAUGAAGGCCUUAGGGUUGUAAAGCUCUUUCACCGGAGAAGAUAAUGACGGUAUCCGGAGAAGAAGCCCCGGCUAACUUCGUGCCAGCAGCCGCGGUAAUACAA
RNAcentral lists this ribosomal RNA (174 nucleotides) under uncultured bacterium. RNAcentral describes it as "partial 16S ribosomal RNA". It matches the Rfam family "Bacterial small subunit ribosomal RNA", at positions 337 to 528 of the family's 1533-position model. The record is from RNAcentral.